GUUAUAUUUACACUGCAAUUAGAAGGUCUGAUCACCAGCACAUCUAGACUUACCUGUACUAUAGAGCAUAGCUAUGGAAGUGCAAGCAGUGGGAGGGGUUAGCCAUCCGGAAUAUGAUCCCAUCCAAGACUCUAGGUGUCACACUUUCAAGAUCUUCUCCACAUUCCCGUGGGCUAGAAACUUGCUAUUUAAAAUGAAAGUUCUUUGCUAUUUGUUUUUAAAGAAUGGAUUUCCUUUGACUGCUUAUAACCCGAGUCACUGAAGUUGAAACCAGAUACUGGAGAUUGGUAUCAUGUAACUGGAUAUCCUCAUCCGAAGAAUAUCUGCCACUAAUGUUUGGAGAGGAAGAGAUGUUGGGAUCUGCCUACUACCUUCCUCAUAAGCAAGCAGAAGGCUCUCCCUGAGCAAAAAUUCCCAUGUUUAAAAUAAAGGUCAUGAUUCAUUGUG
Mauremys reevesii (Reeves's turtle) is the source of this 447-nucleotide long non-coding RNA. RefSeq lists it as uncharacterized. The record is from RefSeq and is a predicted model, not a curated record. The transcript has 3 exons. Lineage: Eukaryota; Metazoa; Chordata; Testudines; Geoemydidae.